Sus scrofa (pig) is the source of this 920-nucleotide non-coding RNA. Lineage: Eukaryota; Metazoa; Chordata; Mammalia; Artiodactyla; Suidae. The record is from RefSeq and is a predicted model, not a curated record.
AGGAUCGAGGGCUGCUGGGGGUGGACAAGAGCAGGAAAGGAUUUGUUUAGAGCUUCUAGUCUCUUCCAACCACGAGGAAGGACUCUGAACUUUUACCCUGAACUCGGCCUGGUGUGCCAGUGGCCUUGUUUCCGGACACGCAGGCCGGCCUCUCUCUUAACACGGGGCUGCAGACGUCCUGUCGAUUCCCAGGGCACGGAGUGGUCAGAGAACCAAACAGGCAGCCUGAGCAUCAGAACUCCUACAAGGUUGACUUUAAUGGGGGCUGCCUUCGGCGACUAAAGCAAUCUUGAAAGGGCUCUUCACCGCAAAGCUGUCUGCACACAAGGCCCCAGCAGGCAAAUCUGGGCAACACCCUGCCGUGUCCACUGCACUAGCUCAGGAUCCGACUCCACUACUCACUGCCAGUGUGACCUGGACCAAAGAAGCUCAACCUCUCUGAAUCACAGUUUGCCCAUCUGACAAAUGGGGGCUGCACCCAAGGCCUACACCACAGACACAGCAACACAUGUCUGCGACCUACACCACAGCUCACGUCAAUGCCGAAUCCCUAACCCACUGAGCGGGGCCAGGGAUCGAACCCACAUCCCCACGGAUACUAGUUGGGUUCAUUACCAUUGAGCCACGACAGGAACUCCUAGAUGAAUGAUUUUCACACAGACUAAGCCCCCUUCCCACUUUUUGUGACUUUUCACUUCUGUGACUCCCCUGAGCCCCCGCUCACUCCCUUCCCCCUCUUCCAUCCUCCCCUUAAAACGCUCGGUCACCUCUGUAUCGACUGAGGCUGGAUUCAGUUUAUGCUAGACUCUUUUCCUCAUUACAAAACUACUACUGAUCAAAAUCUGUACACACAGGAGUUCCUGUUGUGGCGCAGCAGAAAUGAAUCUGACUAGGAACAAUGAGGUUGCGGGUUAAGGAUC